GGGACAUUCGAUCUUCAUGUGUGAUCGAAAAUUUGUUAGAACACUAGUUCAGUCCUCGAACUCCUAGACAACGUUAUAUUGCAUGCUCAAUUACUUAGAGAUUGGAUUCGGCAUGUUAGAAACCUGCGAACUGGAGCAAAGGAGAUCUUCCUCGAUUUAUUUGCUAUAUUUGCAGCAAGAUUUUGAGAGGCCCCUAAAAACAUUUGUUUUGUAUCGUUGUGAGAUAGUGAAGCCAACGCCAGCCGCCGAGUUGCUUAUUUUGCUGGAGGGGUUGAAUUUGUACCACCCGUUAUCUGAACAGAAAAUGUUUAGCCUACACUUGUGGCCACCCCAGAGUGGAGAUUAAGGCCAGCACUCUA
RNAcentral lists this unclassified non-coding RNA (359 nucleotides) under Hevea brasiliensis (rubber tree). The record is from RNAcentral. Lineage: Eukaryota; Viridiplantae; Streptophyta; Magnoliopsida; Malpighiales; Euphorbiaceae.